CACACACACACACACACACACAGAGGGAGAGAGAGAGAGAGAACUAGGAAGUGCACUACAGCACCUGCUCUCUCGCUCUUCUUCAUCCAGCAGAAAAUCUAAAAGUAGUACAUUUAGAGUACUGCACACUUCUGUUCCUCAGAGAUGGAGGAAAAUCAGGAAGCUGCUGAAACUCACCUGUUCUGGUAAGAGUCACUUUUAUUCCCUUACUUUCAUUAUGUUAAUGAUCGAAGGAGUUUAAAGGUAAACAGUUCACGUUUGUGUCUGUAAAUUUAGAUAUUUAGAUUUUAUUCACGUGCUUUAAAUGUCACAUGAUGCUAAAUUGUGGCAUGAAAUCAUGUUGUGCGUGUCUUAUUAUUUUUAUUUGUGUUAUUUUGAAUCCUCGAAUUUCUGCUCUCGGUUAAAUAAAACUUGCUCGCGAGAGACUCUAUGUUGCACACGUAUUGUCAACGUUUUUAUCUUUCUUAUCCAAAACCAGAGACUGAACCCCACUUAAAUAAAUCAUGCACAUUUUCUUUAGACAAGAAAACAAACAACGCACCAAGAACUUCUGUAGAACAUGACUGUUUCGAAAAACAAAGGGGUUAAGCUGUGGCCUUGGCAGACGUUUAUUAAUUCACUGAGAAAACAUGUUUGGAAAACGGACUUCCGGGUCAGAAUGUUUGUGUGUGAUCGGACACGCCUCUUGUCAGUCAUUUUAUAGACACCAUACAAUACAGGCCACUGUAGAUCCUGGUAGGCGGAGCUUUGUAAACAUGGGCGGGAUUCAUUCAAAUGUUAAAUCCACUUAACCAUUAGACCUAAUUCUGAAAAAGUGCUACUGGCAUUGCUUGUGAGUGUACCAGCUAUCUUCUAUUCACUGUCAAAAUUAGCUGCUUGCAUGCUAGCCUUUGUAUUAGCUAUUAGCAGCACAAGCUAACUGUACUAGAUACGUACGCUGACCAGAGACAGCGAUGAUCUCUGCUACUUCCUUUCAAUCUUUAUUUUUCUUUGUAACGUCUCUGUACAUGUUUAAUCAGAGGUCUAUAACAUUACACGAUAAGAUAAAAUCACACUUAUAACUUCUAUUUCCAUUUUUUGUGGGAACUAACAGCAGAAAGGAAUUACAGGUGUAGGAUCACUCUGAGGAAUCAUUCCAGAUGAUUGUUUGGAUCUAUCGCUUCUUUACAGACUCAUAAGUCAUUUGCAAAGAAUUGAGAAAAUCUGAUCUGUGACUGAAAUCUCGCCUCCGUGUCACGUGUGUACGUAGAAAUGAACAGACACCUGUCGCUCUGUUGCUGCUCGUGUGAACUCAGGAUUAAACAGGUUAGGAUUAUCACGAUGACUAAACCUGCCUGAAAGUCAUUUAAUCCUCGAUUUGUUAAACAACGAAAAGAGCAGCGGGCUUAACGAGACCAAACCACAGAUGAUAAGACAGAACACAACAGAAGACUCGAUACUACAGACCUUUAAAAAAUUCAACUGCAUUAAAUACCUCCCGAGAUACCCGCGAUCCCGACCCGUUCUGCUCUCCGGACCGGCCCGAUCCACCUGCCAGCAUUCCAUCAGCUGAUUACUCCAACAAAACAAACUUCAGGUUAAAGCUAAAAUAAAUUCAGAAAUGACGCUGAUGCUCAUAUUCAUAAGUUCCUCUUAACACACUUGCCACUGCUUGACUCUAUUAAUAUACAUUUAUAGAAGGGGUGUAUUUAUUUAUAAUCACACUAUCCGGUGUCACCCAGAUGAGGACGGGUUCCCUUCUGAGUCCGGUUCCUCUCGAGGUUUCUUCCUCAUAUCGUCUCAGGGAGUUUUUCCUCACCACGUCUCCUCUGGCUGCUCGUUAGGGAUAAAUUCACACAUUUAACAUCUCUAUCCUGAGUGUAUAUAUUUCUGUAGCGCUGCUCCGGGACGACGUCCACCGUUAAACACGCUGCACUAAUAACACUGAACUGAACUGAAUACAUUCAUAACUAAAUAAGCGCUUUAUCCUGCUCAGGGUGAGUAUAAAACUGGGGUGUGGGGUACACCCUGGAUGGAAGCAUGCACACACGUUCACACCUAGGGGGUCAUUUAGCAUAGCCAGUUCCCCUAACAGCAUGUUUUUGGAAGACAGAAGAGAACCCAGAGGAAACCCACAAGAACACAGGAGAACAGGUUCAGAAACUCCACACAGACAAUAACCUGAGCUCAGGAUCGACCCGGGAACUCUGGAGCUAUGAAACACAUCCCUGAGUGAGACACGUGAGUGAGUGAGACAUGUCAGUGAGACACGUGAGUGAGUGAGACACUUAC
Molecule: long non-coding RNA, 2271 nt
Organism: Ictalurus punctatus (channel catfish)
Lineage: Eukaryota; Metazoa; Chordata; Actinopteri; Siluriformes; Ictaluridae
Source: Ensembl